This 948-nucleotide ribosomal RNA is filed under the name Triticum aestivum (bread wheat). RNAcentral describes it as "partial small subunit ribosomal RNA". Lineage: Eukaryota; Viridiplantae; Streptophyta; Magnoliopsida; Poales; Poaceae. The record is from RNAcentral.
AUGGCGCCGCCGUUCGCCGUCGCCGCAGUUUCCUCCUCAUCCCCUCUCUUCUCCUCCUCCUCAUCCCCUCUCUUCUCCUCCUCCUCAUCCCGCCCCAUCCUCCGCGGCCACCCGUCGCUGGGUUAUAUCUCCGUGCGGCCACGGCACCGCUCGGCUGUGGCCUCCGCCGCGGCGACCGAGUCCGCUGGAAAGCUCCUUCUCGAGGUACACGGGCUUACCGCCUCCGUCAAGGAGACUGGGCAGCAGAUCCUAAAAGGCGUCGACCUCACCAUCCGCGAGGGCGAGGUUCAUGCGAUCAUGGGGAAGAACGGCUCCGGCAAGAGCACCCUCACAAAGGUUCUUGUUGGCCAUCCACACUACGAGGUAACUGGUGGUACCAUUCUCUUCAAGGGUGAGAACUUAAUUGACAUGGAGCCAGAGGAAAGAUCUCUUGCAGGCCUCUUUAUGAGCUUCCAAGCGCCUAUUGAAAUUCCUGGAGUGAGCAAUUAUGAUUUUCUGCUCAUGGCAAUAAAUGCUCGCAGAGAGAAGGACGGUCUCCCAGCUUUGGGACCUCUUGAGUUCUAUUCUGUUGUAUCACAAAAAGUCGAGGCCUUAAAGAUGGAGCCAAAGAUCCUUGAUCGUAAUGUAAACGAAGGAUUUAGUGGUGGAGAAAGAAAGCGCAAUGAGAUACUGCAACUUUCUGUCCUUGGGGCUGAUUUAGCCCUCCUCGAUGAAAUCGAUUCUGGAUUAGAUGUUGAUGCACUUGAAGAUGUAGCUCAUGCAGUGAAUGGGCUCUUGACUCCCCAAAACUCCGUUCUGAUGAUUACACAUUACCAACGUCUUUUGGAUCUUAUUAAGCCAAGCUAUGUUCACAUCAUGGAAAGUGGCAAGAUAGUGAAGACAGGUGACAGCUCUCUAGCCAGCCACAUCAACGAGGGUGGCUACAAAUCAAUCGCUUCUUUUGUAUAG